AGAAUCAACGCUGGCGGCGUGCCUAACACAUGCAAGUCGAACGAGAAAGUGGAGCAAUCCAUGAGUAAAGUGGCGACCGGGUGAGUAACACGUGACUAACCUACCUUCGAGUGGGGGAUAACAUCGGGAAACCGAUGCUAAUACCGCAUAACAUCGCAAGAUCAAAAGCAGCAAUGCGCUGGAAGAGGGGGUCGCGGCUGAUUAGCUAGUUGGCGGGUAACGGCCCACCAAGGCGAAGAUCGGUA
This 245-nucleotide ribosomal RNA is filed under the name uncultured bacterium. RNAcentral describes it as "partial small subunit ribosomal RNA". It matches the Rfam family "Bacterial small subunit ribosomal RNA", at positions 26 to 285 of the family's 1533-position model. The record is from RNAcentral.